Molecule: non-coding RNA, 1860 nt
Organism: Musa acuminata subsp. malaccensis (wild Malaysian banana)
Lineage: Eukaryota; Viridiplantae; Streptophyta; Magnoliopsida; Zingiberales; Musaceae
Source: RefSeq, a predicted model, not a curated record
CUGCAGUUCGACGACCGUAAUAUUCGGUACCCUCAUCAGAGGGCUCUGUCCGGAGAAGAGGAUCGGGGACGCCGCCAACCUGUUUGAGAUAAUGCCUGAGAUGGGUUGCGUACUUGAUCUGAUCACAUACAAUAUUUUCAUCAAGGGUCUUUGCGAUAGCGGGAACACGGGCAGGGCACUUUGUGUCUUCAAACUCUUCGAAUAAAUGAUUUGUGAAGGUGUUGCACCAGAUGCUGUAACUUAUGGUGCGAUCAUCAGUGGCCUCUGCAAAGAGGGAUUUUUGGAGAAGGCUUUCAAGAUAUUUCAAGAAAUGGUUGCUCUAGGGUGUAUGCCAAGUGUUUUGACAUACAGUGUACUAAUCAGUGCCCAUUGCAAAGUCGGUGCUGUGAGUAAGGCCUUUGAAAUGUUUCAGCAAAUGGUUGUUACAGGUGUCGAGCCAGACAUCGUCACGUAUACUUCUCUUAUUCAUGGAGAUUCUAGUUUAGGCCAUUGGAUUCUUACAGGAGAUGUUGAAUUGAGGUCUUAUACCAAACACCGUGACAUACAACACUUUAAUGAAUCCAAUGAUUGUGAGAGGUAACGAGCCUAACAUUAGGUCCUAUAAUUUAUUAAUGCACGAAUAUGUUUUGGAAGGUCACCUUAAUGAUGCAGCAAAAGUUGUUAAUUCCAUGGUGCAAGAGGGACUUGAGCUCAAUGUUCAUAGUUAUGGAAUCCUGAUUAGUGCAUGUUGUAAGAAUGGGAGAAUGAAUGAGGCCAUGUCUUUGUUUAAUGAAAUGUUAGGUGAAGGAGUGACACCUAAUGUUGUUAUUUACAGUACUAUCUUCGACAGAUAUUGCAAAAUUGGGCAACUUUCAGAAGAUCGUACACUCUUCAAUGACAUGAUUGAUCAAGGGCUGAAACCAGGUGUCUACAGUUAUAGUUCGUUGAUCUGGGGCAAUUGUAAAUCUGGUGAGUGGAAAGAAGUCAAUAAUUUACUUGAACAGAUGAAAGAUCAAGGAGUUUAUCCAGAUGAUGUGUCUUUUAACAUAUUAAUUGAUGCUCUAUGUAAAGAUGAGAAAGCCAACAAAGCACAAAAGCUAGUGGGUAUGAUGACUCAAGGAGGUGUUUAGCGUGAUACAGUUAUAACAUAUUUAUUAAUGGAUAUUGUUUAGAGAAAAGAAUUGAUAAAGCUGCCAAAUAUUUGAUUCUAUGGUUUUGAUUGGUUUUUUGGCCAAUGUUGCUACUUACAGUACAUUGAUCAGUGGCUUUUGUGAGUUUGGAAGCAGAUGAGGCUUUAGGAUUUCUUGGUGAAAUGAACCAUGAGGUAUUGAAACCCACAGUGAUAUCUUAUAACAGUGUUAGAUGGAUUGUAUCAGGUGGGGAUGGUUGUGCAAAAUAUUGCAUAAGAAGAUGCUUGUAGCAAAGUCAGCACGGACAUCGCAACCUACUACAUAACAAUGGAUGGACUAUGUUAAGAUCAAUAAUCAAAGAUAGCUUGUCUCAGAAAAACCUCUUGAUGGGAACCUUCGACCUUUUUUUUGCGAAGGUGAGAUUUGAGCCUAUGACCUUGCGAUAAACUGUCAAGAUCUCAACUUGUUGACACAUUAAAAAAAAUCUUUGACGUCAUAAUGAGUGAACUUUUAGACUGAUAAAAUUGGUGCAGUAAGAGAUAUUUCCAGUGCUAUUCUCAUGGAAGACUUGAAGCCAGAUGUGAUAGCAUACACCUUGUCGUUAAAGCUUUCCCUAAAGAAGUGUCACUGGAUGAGGCUAAUGAGUUGGCUUUAUCAAUGCAGUAAAUGGUUGUUCCUCACAUUCUGCCAUGCUAAAUGCAAUUAUUCGAAGAUUACCUGAGAAAAAGAGGUGAUGAAAACAAUUUCUGUA